RNAcentral lists this ribosomal RNA (407 nucleotides) under uncultured bacterium. RNAcentral's name for it is "partial 16S ribosomal RNA". It matches the Rfam family "Bacterial small subunit ribosomal RNA", at positions 30 to 526 of the family's 1533-position model. The record is from RNAcentral.
AUUGAACGCUGGCGGCAGGCCUAACCCAUGCAAGUCGAGCGGAGCGGCUGACGGGUGCGUAAUGCCUAGGAAUCUGCCUGGUAGUGGGGGAUAACGUCCGGAAACGGGCGCUAAUCCCGCAUACUAUCAGAUGAGCCUAGGUCGGAUUAGCUAGUUGGGGGGGUAAAGGCCUACCAAGGCGACGAGCCGGAACUGGUCUGAAUGGAUGUUCAGUCACACUGGAACUGAGACACGGUCCAGACUCCUACGGGAGGCAGCAGUGGGGAAUAUUGGACAAUGGGCUAAAGCCUGAUCCAGCCAUGCCGCGUGUGUGAAGAAGGUCUUCGGAUUGUAAAGCACUUUAAGUUGGGAGGCGUUAGCAACAGAAUAAGCACCGGCUAACUUCGUGCCAGCAGCCGCGGUAAUUC